Molecule: ribosomal RNA, 258 nt
Filed under: uncultured bacterium
Lineage: Bacteria
Description: partial 16S ribosomal RNA
Rfam family: Bacterial small subunit ribosomal RNA
Source: RNAcentral
UACGUAGGUGGCAAGCGUUGUCCGGAAUCACUGGGCGUAAAGGGCGCGUAGGCGGGACAGCAAGUCGGUCGUGAAAUCCCUGGGCUCAACUCAGGGGGGUCGGCCGAUACUGCCGUUCUUGAGGGAUGCAGAGGAGACUGGAAUUCCCGGUGUAGCGGUGAAAUGUGUAGAGAUCGGGAGGAACACCGGUGGCGAAGGCGGCUCUCUGGGGCUGUUCUGACGCUGAGGCGCGAAAGCUGGGGUAGCAAACAGGAUUAG